RNAcentral lists this ribosomal RNA (253 nucleotides) under uncultured bacterium. RNAcentral's name for it is "partial 16S ribosomal RNA". It matches the Rfam family "Bacterial small subunit ribosomal RNA", at positions 524 to 776 of the family's 1533-position model. The record is from RNAcentral.
UACAGAGGGGGCAAGCGUUGUUCGGAAUUACUGGGCGUAAAGGGCGCGUAGGCGGCCUGCUAAGUCGAACGUGAAAUCCCUGGGCUCAACCCAGGAACUGCGUCCGAUACUGGUUGGCUUGAAUCCGGGAGAGGGAUGCGGAAUUCCAGGUGUAGCGGUGAAAUGCGUAGAUAUCGGGAGGAACACCAGCGGCGAAGGCGGGUAUCUGGGCCAACACUGACGCUGAGGCGCGAAAGCUAGGGGAGCAAACAGG